UGAACGCUAGCGACAGGCUUAACACAUGCAAGUCGAGGGGCAGCGAGGGAGUGGCAACACUUCUGUCGGCGACCGGCGCACGGGUGAGUAACGCGUAUGCAACCUGCCCUUCACAGGGGGAUAACCGGGAGAAAUUCCGACUAAUACCGCAUACGUCCUCCGGGGGCAUCCCUGGGGGAUGAAAGAAUUAUCGGUGAAGGAUGGGCAUGCGUGAUAUUAGGUAGUUGGCGGGGCAACGGCCCACCAAGCCUACGAUAUCUAGGGGUUCUGAGAGGAAGGUCCCCCACAUUGGUACUGAGACACGGACCAAACUCCUACGGGAGGCAGCAGUGAGGAAUAUUGGUCAAUGGACGAGAGUCUGAACCAGCCAAGUCGCGUGAAGGAAGACGGAUCUAUGGUUUGUAAACUUCUUUAGUGCGGGAACAAAGCGGCGUCGUGACGCCGGAUGAGUGUACCGCAAGAAUAAGCAUCGGCUAACUCCGUGCCAGCAGCCGCGGUAAUACGGAGGAUGCGAGCGUUAUCCGGAUUUAUUGGGUUUAAAGGGAGCGCAGGCUGCGAGGCAAGUCAGCGGUCAAAUGUCGGGGCUCAACCCCGGCCUGCCGUUGAAACUGUCCUGCUAGAGUUCGAGUGAGGUAUGCGGAAUGCGUUGUGUAGCGGUGAAAUGCAUAGAUAUGACGCAGAACUCCGAUUGCGAAGGCAGCAUACCAACUCGCGACUGACGCUGAGGCUCGAAAGCGUGGGUAUCGAACAGGAUUAGAUACCCUGGUAGUCCACGCAGUAAACGAUGAAUACUAACUGUUCGGAGGGCGACCUCUGAGUGGUAAAGCGAAAGCGUUAAGUAUUCCACCUGGGGAGUACGCCGGCAACGGUGCAACUCAAAGGAAUUGACGG
Molecule: ribosomal RNA, 891 nt
Filed under: uncultured Bacillota bacterium
Lineage: Bacteria; Bacillati; Bacillota
Description: bacterial SSU rRNA
Rfam family: Bacterial small subunit ribosomal RNA
Source: RNAcentral